Molecule: long non-coding RNA, 6011 nt
Filed under: Trifolium pratense (red clover)
Lineage: Eukaryota; Viridiplantae; Streptophyta; Magnoliopsida; Fabales; Fabaceae
Description: long non-coding RNA (TPRA_LNC002984)
Source: RNAcentral
UAUUACGUAAUUGGGUUUCUGAGAAACCAUUGUUUCUAAAGAAGUUGAGAACUAAAUCAGGGUUUUGGGUUGUCUUGAAACAUACCUUGUAAGUGGAGCAGAGUUUGGAAGCAAAUUUUGGGGUGAAGUUAAAAGUGUUGAUGAGGUAGGAGACUGCAACUGAAGUUGAAUCUGAAGUGUAGUUGCAGAAAUGCAGAGAAAAUGGUAAUGAGAGGUUUUUGUGGGAUAGUGAUGUUGGUGGGAAAGUUAAUGCUUUGAGAUUGAGAAAGGUUGUGUGGCUAUGGAUAUUCAACAUUUAUACAGAUAGGCUUUUGUGGAAAAAUAAUAUGAAAUGAAAGAGAUGAAGAUUAAUAAAUACUAUUUCUUCUUACCUCUCCCUUUGGGACUUUGAUGACUUCAGUUUUCAGGAUAUUCGAUUUUCAUGGAGUGGAGGUAGUUUCAGGAUGGCACAACCCGUGCUGUAUAGUUUUCAUUCAAUCAUAAAUUAAAUAUGUUUUUUGUUGCUAUAAUUUUAUUUAGUCUUUGAAGAUUGUUUUCAUAUUUUUAGUUCAUGAAGUUUUUUCGGUCAAUAUUUUUAGUCUCUGCUUUUCAUUCAAUUCGUAUAUACUUUCACAUUUUUAAAUGAUUUUUUGUACUUAUGUUUAUAAUAUUAUAAGAACAUCUCCGAUAAAAAUUUAGAAUUUUUUAACAUAAAAUGAAUUAUUUAUGUGCAAAAAAUUAAAAAAUUCAUAUUUAAUUCAUCUUUGUUAAAAAAUUUAAACUUUUAUAACAGAGAUUCAUAUAAUGUACUAAACAUAACUUCAGAAAAAAAAAUAUUAAAAUAGUAUGCACGAGUUGAAUGAAAAGUAUGGACUAAAAACAUUUACGGAAAAAACUUCAGGGACUAAAAAGUGUGAAAAAUAUCUUCUGGGACUAAAAUGAAAAUUCUGAAAAACUAUAGGGACCAAAAACAUAUUUAACCCUAAAAACAACAGCAAAUUAUAUUUCAAGGUAAAGACAUGUCCUGAAUCUAAGAGAUUCCGGGUUCGAGUUUCCUGUUCUCUAAGUCUUAUGGUCUUUCUUGCCUUGGAUUGGGGCACACCUUAAAUUUUUCUAAUAAAAAACUUAUAAAGCAAUCCGGUUCGGUUUUUAUCCAAAAAAAAAAUAAUGGUUUAAUCGAUUUUCUUAUCCGAUUUAGUUUGGUUUGACGGUCCGAUUUACUGCUUUUUUUUUUGUUUGAUUUGGUUUCAGCUUAAUCGUUUUUUAUCUGCUUACACUCCAACACGCGCCCUCACCUUGACACUACUGGUUGGCACAUCUUGUCUAACCCGCUAAAAACAAAUAUUACUUUUCGUGCCCCUGAGCUCUUCAGGCGUCCCCUUAACUUCCAAUUUUACCUCGUACAUGUUAGGUAACUAAUGUGUAAAUAGCAAAAACUGGGGAAAAAAACAAUUUGCAUCCUAGGAUGUGAACCGAGUUCACUACCUAGGAUGGAAACCUUAUAAAAAUCAAGGUCCUCUCUACCGUUCUCUCACCUUCCAUGAAACAAUUUUGAAUGAAACAUCGUUCACAAGUUAAAGUGUCAAUCAUUCCUUCAACCUCCAAGAAAAUAUUUUGAAUGAAACACUGUAUGAGCGAUUAAAAAAAAUAAAAGAGGUUUCAAUUUAUAGAAUUAUACGGUGUGUGUGGUCGAUAUUGUCACGUCCGCUUAAGUGGCCAAUCAAAAUGUGGUAUUUGGCCAAAUUUUAAUAAGGUUCACUGAUUAAAGUGCAAACUGAGUCGCACUCUAAGUAGCAAACUGUGUUUGAAUUCACACUCUAAAUAACGAACUGUAUUUCAGUUUAUACUCUAAGUAGCGAAUUGUAUUUCAAUCCACACUCUAAAUAGCGAACUAUAUUUAAGUUUGCACUUUAAGUAACGAACUGUGUUUUUUUUAUAAUAUUUUCAUUCGUGGGGGGUUUGAAGAGUGCAAACAUUGGAGUUGAGUAAAAAUAAAUUGUCACUCACCACGUAGGAUGUCAACUGAGUUCGCUACCUACAUAGCUAGAAAAGGUAUUUUAGUCAUUUCAAGAGCCAUGAAAAGAAGAACUUCUAAAAAAAAAUGGGUUGGUAACGAGAUGACCCAUUGGGUCAAAUAGUAACACAUUUUUUACUACUCUUUAUUCAUAAAUCUCAAUCAAUUUUCUAAUUUUCUCUUUAUAUUUGACUUAGAUAGGAAAAAAAAUUUAUUAAAUCACUUUGGUUUUAUGAUUUAGCCUUGUUUAUAAUAUAAUUUGAUAAAAGAGUUGGACAAAAAUUUGUUGUGACUUAGGAAGAAGAUCAGUGUAUUUAUAGAAAUUUGGAUUUAACACAGUAACUAUGACACCUAACUACUCGUGUUAGCCGCCCAAUAUAAAAUUAACGGUUGAGAUCAUGUAACAUUGAUUUUGUUAAUGUAUAAUCAAGAUAAUCUGAUCUCUAAUCAACGACCGAGCUGUGAAACUGUGUGCUUUUUCAACUACACACAAUCCGAUUCCGUAUUUAUAGGAGUCUUUAGCCUUCAUAACUGUUUGUUCAGCAAUAUAUUGGAGAUGUGCUAGUGAGACUUGUUAUUUUACUUGAAUUUGCAAAAUUGCUCUUUAGUUCUUGUCCUCAUGAAUACUGUGAGGAUGAUCAAUUUAGUCUUGUCCUCAAGUUAUAGGAUUUUGAACAGAGAGACAAGAGAAUGAAUAAACACUUUCCAAUGAUUCUAUAUGAUUGAUGACUGCUUUUCUACUAGCUACAACAACUCUUUCAGUGUAUUCGGAAGUGCGAUAUAUUAGCCUUCAAACACAUGGCCGGCCAGAACAAAGCUACAACUACAAGUUUCUGUGAAAACUAUUUUCUAAAUCCACGGCUCCAAUGCAAGAAUGGUUGAUGAAAGAAGCAACAAUCAGAUUUCAGAAUCAAGAACAUGACACUAAUUUCUGCAAAGCUGCUGCAUGAUUAUAAAGGAAAAGUGUUGGUAGUUGAUAACAAUGUAGCAAAUGCAACUGGUAACAAUUAUAAGUUACAAGCACAUUACCUGAAAAUAUCAUAGCUCAAAUAUCAGCAAUGCCAACAAAAACUAAACAAUAUAACUAACAGUCAAACACAGACUACAAGCUAGAUAUGCUUAAGAAAGAAGUUAUUUAAUUAGAAGGCAAAGAGGGGUAACUGAUUUACAUAUAAUCAACUGAAAAUAAUACGGAGUCCCUUCAAAAAAAAUAAGAGCUUAGUACAAUGUAAGAAACCUAAAUCAACAGCAUAAGCUGGUUAUCAUUUUACCUGAAGAAUUUAGGAAGGAUACUGCAGAAUGUUGCCAGAGAAAGAAAGCAUAGAUUAAUCCAUCAUGAUGAAGAUGUCAUUUCAUUUCAUACAUAGCAAACUAACACACAACAAAGUUUUGUUCCAUAUCCUUUCCAACGGAACAAAAGCUUCUUCCUUAUAGGCGAGGUUCUAUAAAAAAAUGUUUCCUUUUAAGAGUGAAAAAAAUUUAAGUGGUAAACAAAAUAGGAGGUAAGCUAUUGGUUUACUGUUACAGACCAGAACAAACGGUUAACAGUCUUCUCUCUAAACAACACGUCACUCAUCAAUUCUAGAAUUCCUGUUUCCUCUUUUGCCCCUCCUCGAAUAUACAUUCCAAAACCUGGGCCUACUUGCUUCGUUAUGAAUUAAAGGUUCAUCUAUACCGUUCCUAACAUUAACUAUUUAAUAGUAUUGAAGGCCAAAAGUUAGUAAGAGGUCCAACAAUUAAAUUCCCAGAAACUGCAUCAAGAAAUUACUCUACUAGGGUUAUGAAGCACGGACACUCCUCAGAUUAGGCGUGUGCCGUUGUCAGGCAUGCAUCUGUGUUGGACACCAACACAACGCCGACACUUAUGAUUACACUGAAUUGUCAUUUUUUUCAAAUUAUUAUCUGUGUUGCCGUGUUAAUGUCUUUGUCUUUUCCGGUGUCCUUGUUUGUGUCCAUGCUUAUAGGUUAUAAGUGUCCAGCACAGUAGACAAUAUCCGAAAGCAGUUAAGUAAAAUCUCAAAACAUACAUGGGAACAAGGUGUUCAAGCAUAUGCGAUGUUUAACGCAUAAACUCACAUAAAAUACAGAACAUUGAAAAAAAUGCUAGUGUAUUGUAAUUUUAAAAAAAAAACUCUGAUAUUUAACCCUAAAUCCACCAUAUCUAUAUCAGUUGGCCAAAAAGUACAGAUAACAACAAUUUGAGACAAUUAAGUGUUAUGUUAAUAUGACUAUGGCAUAAGGCUAACUGCCAAGUGUUGUAGCUUCAAUUAUUAAGUUUGAGAGGUCUUCAAAAUUGUAUCACAACCAUUAUUAAGCUUGCAUUUUUCUACCAUUAUUUAUGCUGAAGAUAUUUGCGAAGUAAACACAACUGCAAAUGUAGCUUAAAACCGUUUCAAUUUCAAAUCGAUCAACCCAUGCAGUUAUAACUGAAUUUCUACAACAGAUUAUUGGACUAAACUAAACAAACAAACGCGCAGGAAAUCAUUUCAAUCGAACACCAAAAAGAAUUCCAUGCCUACAAAUGCAAUAAAAUUUCAACUUUUACGUGUAUCACUGGCAAAUUUAUAAGGUAUUAUUAAGACUGAUAUACAUCAAAUUUUUUGAAACAAUAUCAAUUAUAACAAACCAACAUUUGUCCAAAUAUAACCAAAGGAAACAAGUUAGCUAAACUUUCUCCAAUCACAUUCUGUACUGAACAUGUAUUGAAUUGUAUUCAAAUCAAAUAACAUUAGUAAGGCUAAAAUACCUGAAAAAACUGAUCAUCCCAUGCCAUUUUUGUCGGUGGUGUAUGCAAGACUAAGUUUUUCCUCAUACAGCUUUAAUAGAUUCGAAGACUCCUCCUUAAAACGUUUUAAAUAGGCAUCACGAAACAACUUCUCAGACACUACAAAUGGAUAAGUUAAGCUUGCAUUCUCUUUUCGCAGACCACUCUUCAUCAGAAAUUGCACAAUGGGGGCCCUUGGAGCGAUCCUUUUUUCCAAACUUAACGACAAAAUAUGCGGUGCUUUGGCAAUGGCGCGAGCAUCCCAACCCAAUUGAUUGACCCAAAAAUUCAUCACAGAAUUAAUUUUAGUAAUAGAUACCAACAUACAAUGAGGCUGCUUUUUAAAUGCUUCUUCUACAUCUUCAUCAGACCAACCCCAAUUCUUAUAUAAAUCAACUUUUUCGUUCCAUGCUGGUUUGUUUUCUCUAGCAAGCAAUGCUAUAACAAAAGUUGUUUUUGAUGGAUGAAACCCUGAAUUCUUUAAUUCCUCCACCAUCUCCAACAUUUCAUUCGUCUGGAAUAACCGAGUACAGCUCCGAAGCUCAAACAAUCUUACAAUAGUUGAGUCCUUCACUCCAAUAUCAACCAAUAUUUUGAUGUUAUUUAACACAACAUAAGAACUAAGUAAAUAUGGUUUGUGAAUUACAAGAUUAAUAGUUUCCUCGUUUGAUUGCAUGAAUCUAUACAACAAUUCAUAGGUUGGGACUAUAUGAUUCUCCAAGCUUGGAGACAAGACCAUAGGGUACUUACUGACAAGGUUAGCAAUGUCAGAUUUAGAAGCACCUUUGGAGAGGAAAAAUUGAAACUUUGGGAUGAGCCUUACGGAGGGGUUGCAGCAAAGUAGCCAUGGUCCUUUGGAAAUCAUAUUACUUAAUUGGGUUUCUGAGAAACCAUUGUUUCUAAAGAAGUUGAGAACUAAAUCAGCGUUUUGGGUUGUCUUGAAAUAUACCUUGUAAGUGGAGCAGAGUUUGGAAGCAAAUUUUGGGGUGAAGUUAAAAGUGUUGAUGAGGUAGGAGACUGCAAAAGAGGUUGAAUCAGAAGUGUUGUUGGUGGAAAAAUGCAGAGAACAAGAUGGUGAUGGAUAGUGAUGGAUGUUAAGAGGGAAAGUUAAGUUCUUGUUGAUAUAGAGAUAAGGUUGUGGUGUAUUGAUCAUUUGAAAAGAUUUAGAUUUGAUUUGAAGUGGAAAAAAUGGAGAAAAGGAUGAAUAUGAAGAUGUGGAUGAAGAUGAAAAGGGUUGGUGUAUCAUCAUGAANN